GCCUCCGUGGCACAAUGGUACUGCACCCGCCUUGAGAGCGGGGCCUUCGGGCUUCCAGGUUCGAUUCCUGGCGGGGGCG
This 79-nucleotide transfer RNA is filed under the name Candidatus Woesearchaeota archaeon. Its description in RNAcentral is "tRNA-Ser". It matches the Rfam family "tRNA". Rfam says of the family: Transfer RNA (tRNA) molecules are approximately 80 nucleotides in length. Their secondary structure includes four short double-helical elements and three loops (D, anti-codon, and T loops). The record is from RNAcentral. Lineage: Archaea; Nanobdellati; Candidatus Woesearchaeota.